RNAcentral lists this ribosomal RNA (393 nucleotides) under uncultured bacterium. RNAcentral describes it as "partial 16S ribosomal RNA". It matches the Rfam family "Bacterial small subunit ribosomal RNA", at positions 523 to 918 of the family's 1533-position model. The record is from RNAcentral.
AUACGUAGGGGGCGAGCGUUGUCCGGAAUUAUUGGGUUUAAAGGGUGCGCAGGCGGGAGAUUAAGUCGGCGGUGAAAUUUUGCAGCUCAACUGUAAAAGUGCCUUCGAAACUGGUUUCCUUGAGUGUAGAUGAAGUAGGCGGAAUUUGUGGUGUAGCGGUGAAAUGCAUAGAUAUCACGAGGAACUCCGAUUGCGCAGGCAGCUUACUAAACUACUACUGACGCUCAGGCACGAAGGCGUGGGGAUCAAACAGGAUUAGAUACCCUGGUAGUCCACGCAGUAAACGAUGAUUACUAGCUGUUUGCGAUACAAUGUAAGCGGCUGAGCGAAAGCGUUAAGUAAUCCACCUGGGGAGUACGUUCGCAAGAAUGAAACUCAAAUGAAUUGACGGGG